UACGGAGGGGGCUAGCGUUGUUCGGAAUUACUGGGCGUAAAGCGCGCGUAGGCGGACCUGCAAGUCGGGGGUGAAAGCCCGAGGCUCAACCUCGGAACUGCCUUCGAUACUGCGGGUCUCGAGUCCGGGAGAGGUGAGUGGAAUUCCUAGUGUAGAGGUGAAAUUCGUAGAUAUUAGGAAGAACACCAGUGGCGACGGCGGCUCACUGGCCCGGUACUGACGCUGAGGCGCGAAAGCGUGGGGAGCAAACAGG
This 253-nucleotide ribosomal RNA is filed under the name uncultured bacterium. RNAcentral's name for it is "partial 16S ribosomal RNA". It matches the Rfam family "Bacterial small subunit ribosomal RNA", at positions 524 to 776 of the family's 1533-position model. The record is from RNAcentral.